This 253-nucleotide ribosomal RNA is filed under the name uncultured bacterium. Its description in RNAcentral is "partial 16S ribosomal RNA". It matches the Rfam family "Bacterial small subunit ribosomal RNA", at positions 524 to 776 of the family's 1533-position model. The record is from RNAcentral.
GACAGAGGCCUCGAGCGUUAGGCGGAAUCACUGGGCUUAAAGCGUGUGUAGGCGGAUCGUUAAGUACCUUGUGAAAUCCCACGGCUCAACCGUGGAACGGCUGGGUAUACUGGCGGUCUUGGGCCAUUCAGGGGCGACUGGAACAAGCGGUGGAGCGGUGAAAUGCGUAGAUAUCGCUUGGAACGCCGAAGGUGAAAACAGGUCGCUGGGGAUGUGCCGACGCUGAGACACGAAAGCCAGGGGAGCAAACGGG